This is a long non-coding RNA of Alligator mississippiensis (American alligator), 1054 nucleotides long. RefSeq lists it as uncharacterized. NCBI's taxonomy places the organism in Eukaryota, Metazoa, Chordata, Crocodylia, Alligatoridae. The transcript is spliced from 3 exons. The record is from RefSeq and is a predicted model, not a curated record.
GAACUGACAUGAAACUGUGGCUAAGUGAGACGGGCCCUGGGAGAGGGUCUGAAGUACUUCAUCCCCACAUAGAAGCGGGUAGUUGUCUGGGCCAACAUCUAGACAUGGGGCAGAUCCCAUCAGCCCCAGUGGGGAUGCAGGCCCUGGGUCACUAUCACCCAGUGCUGGAGCUGUCUGAAUGCACAAUGGACUGGAUCCUUCUGCUCCACCAGCUGGUGAUGGCAUCAUAGGAGUGGGAGGUGCAGGUACAGGCACAGGAGAUCUGACGAUGAUGCCAAGGUGGUCAUCCAUCCAAACAGCAGUCAAGCUCAGCUCAUAGGAAGCUAAGCAAGCGGAUUCAGUUAAGCACAGCCAUAUACGACUGCAUCACUCUAAUAAAAAGACACAAAAAGGCUCAACUGUAUUAAUAAUAUAGUAGCUGUUCCCCUACUAUUUUCAUUAUUUUAUAGAAGUGAGAGACAUUGUAAUGUAGCAAAUGGCCAUCGUGGGGACAACAGAAGUGUGACCAAAUCUCAUUGUAUAUUUAUAUAUUAAAAGACACAGAGAAUCUCAACCAAAGCCCUACAUUCCCCAAACUUUGGUAUAGUAUAGAUGGAAAUUCCAUGUUCCUAACUAUACAUCUGUCCCCCAGGCCUUUUGCUUUUUCUGUCCAUGCAAAGAAGAAAAAAAAUAACUCAUUUGAAGAACAGAGUUACACCACUCUAGGAAGAAUCAAGACCUUCAUAGUGGGCACAGCUACUAUAAAUUUCCCAAUUCCAAUUUUCUACAAUUUUUUUAAAGGAAAGAUGGUUUCUAAAGUCAAGAUCUAGAUGAACUUUGUACUCUGGAACCCAUUUCUUAAUUUCUUAAGCACCACUUAAAUAUUCUAGAAAAGGUUUUGCUUCUGGUUUUAAUACAUGCAUAAUUAAAAAAUACCUGACUCAACUUUGCAUGAAAGACUCAGAAUUAAAAAUUGGUCGUUUAAAAAUUUUAAACCGUAGAAAUUAUGUAUUGUACAUAAACAAUUUCAGUAGACACAGAAACAUUUGGAAAUUAAAAAUUCACUAUAACCCUA